UACAGAGGGUGCGAGCGUUGUCCGGAAUCACUGGGCGUAAAGGGCGCGUAGGUGGCCUGAUAAGUAGGGGGUGAAAUCUCGUGGCUCAACUGCGAGGCUGCCUCCUAAACUGUCGGGCUUGAGCAGAGUAGAGGCAGGUGGAAUUCCCGGUGUAGCGGUGGAAUGCGUAGAGAUCGGGAAGAACAUCAGUGGCGAAGGCGGUCUGCUGGGCCGUUGCUGACGCUGAGGCGCGACAGCGUGGGGAGCAAACAGG
RNAcentral lists this ribosomal RNA (253 nucleotides) under uncultured bacterium. RNAcentral describes it as "partial 16S ribosomal RNA". It matches the Rfam family "Bacterial small subunit ribosomal RNA", at positions 524 to 776 of the family's 1533-position model. The record is from RNAcentral.